RNAcentral lists this ribosomal RNA (727 nucleotides) under Paenibacillus sp. A20MT3. Its description in RNAcentral is "bacterial SSU rRNA". It matches the Rfam family "Bacterial small subunit ribosomal RNA", at positions 112 to 826 of the family's 1533-position model. The record is from RNAcentral. Lineage: Bacteria; Bacillati; Bacillota; Bacilli; Caryophanales; Paenibacillaceae.
AACACGUAGGUAACCUGCCUGUGAGACUGGGAUAACUACCGGAAACGGUAGCUAAUACCGGAUAAUACAUUUUCUCUCCUGAGGAAAUGUUGAAAGGCGGAGCAAUCUGUCACUUACAGAUGGACCUGCGGCGCAUUAGCUUGUUGGUGAGGUAACGGCUCACCAAGGCGACGAUGCGUAGCCGACCUGAGAGGGUGAACGGCCACACUGGGACUGAGACACGGCCCAGACUCCUACGGGAGGCAGCAGUAGGGAAUCUUCCGCAAUGGACGAAAGUCUGACGGAGCAACGCCGCGUGAGUGAUGAAGGUUUUCGGAUCGUAAAGCUCUGUUGCCAGGGAAGAAGAUUCAGGAGAGUAACUGCUCCUGGAGUGACGGUACCUGAGAAGAAAGCCCCGGCUAACUACGUGCCAGCAGCCGCGGUAAUACGUAGGGGGCAAGCGUUGUCCGGAAUUAUUGGGCGUAAAGCGCGCGCAGGCGGUCAUUUAAGUCUGGUGUUUAAUCCCGGGGCUCAACCCCGGGUCGCACUGGAAACUGGGUGACUUGAGUACAGAAGAGGAGAGUGGAAUUCCACGUGUAGCGGUGAAAUGCGUAGAUAUGUGGAGGAACACCAGUGGCGAAGGCGACUCUCUGGGCUGUAACUGACGCUGAGGCGCGAAAGCGUGGGGAGCAAACAGGAUUAGAUACCCUGGUAGUCCACGCCGUAAACGAUGAGUGCUAGGUGUUAG